Molecule: unclassified non-coding RNA, 253 nt
Filed under: uncultured Phycisphaeraceae bacterium
Lineage: Bacteria; Pseudomonadati; Planctomycetota; Phycisphaerae; Phycisphaerales; Phycisphaeraceae
Description: contains 16S-23S intergenic spacer region
Rfam family: Bacterial small subunit ribosomal RNA
Source: RNAcentral
UACAGAGGCCCCGAACGUUGCGCGGAAUCACUGGGCUUAAAGGGUGCGUAGGCGGGCCCGCAAGUGCUUUGUGAAAUCCCACGGCUUAACCGUGGAAUAGCUUGGCAUACUGCGGGCCUUGAGGUCGGCAGAGGUUGCUGGAACUCUAGGUGUAGCGGUGAAAUGCGUAGAUAUCUAGAGGAACGCCCAAGGCGAAGGCAGGCGGCUGGGCCGAUUCUGACGCUCAGGCACGAAAGCGUGGGUAGCGAACGGG